UUGCUCCGAUGGAAUAUGGGUAUAAAUGUCCCUCUGACCUGAGACCGCCACGGUGACUUGCAAACAACUCACUGCACUUAGGCACUGGACUACCUGAAUUUCUAAUUCAGUGAUGGAAGGCUGUUGGGUGUAGUCAAGUACUUGACUUGUCGGUGCGUGUGUCAAGAUGGGAUUGACCACUCCAGUUUAGGAGCUGUGUACAGUUGUAUUUUAAUUUAACAAAACUUUGGCCAGGGUAAUCCUUGUGAGGAGUCAUAGGACUGUUUGAGUU
Molecule: long non-coding RNA, 271 nt
Filed under: Elaeis guineensis (African oil palm)
Lineage: Eukaryota; Viridiplantae; Streptophyta; Magnoliopsida; Arecales; Arecaceae
Description: long non-coding RNA (EGUI_LNC054279)
Source: RNAcentral